UAAGGAGUUUGGUGACCGAUUAUUAUGUAGGUUUUCCACCCACAAACGAGAGAAAGUAUUUUUGUUUUCUAUUUUCUAUUUUCUUCUUUUCUUUUCUCACUUCGUUCUCUGUAAUCUCUUCCUUUCCUUUCGUCUGUGAAUCCCCCAGUAAAGUUAGUAUCAUCAUCUUCCACCGGAAGAAAUCGAUAUCUCGAAAGAUCGUCUCCGUCAUGGAUCCUCCGCAGCGCUCAUCCACCACCUCAGGAUCGGUCUGAACCUAUCUCUCGUUAUUUUUCGUCGUACAUGAUGUAUGUGGCCCUCCUUCUCUUUGCACUCGGCACCAAGCUCUAUUUCAUUUUCUAAGGGGAAAUAAAGAUAAACUCUUUGAAGUUAGUAGCAGCACCAGCUACAUAAGAGGAUGGGAGCAUCAGAGGCUCUAACUGAUCCAUCGAGCCUAUAAGAUGUGGGCAACGUUGAAUUUUCCGACACGUAUACGAUGCUUACCGUGAGAAAUGCACUUGCAUCUGUCCAGAAUGUGAGUCUUGCCUUCUCUCCUUUGUUUAUGUGUUUGAUUGAUGCUAUUUAUGUUCAUGCUUUAUGACUCUACGUUUAUGUUCUUAUGACUCAUGAUGUCUGUGGCCCUGUGCUUUUGGUAUCUUCAAGAGAGAGUUCAGUGACAAGGCUAAGGUUUGGGACUCGGAGAAGAUCGUUGUUAUACCAGACCAUUACAUAUUUACAGCUGAUAAGCGUGCAAACCGCAACGUGGAUAUUAUGAGGGAUUACUGCAGGGAAAAAAACGUCGUUGUUAUCAAGGCUAAUCCUGAUUACAAAGGUGUUUGCCAUGUUGCGCUUGCACAAGAAGGUCAUUGAAGGCCAGAAGAGGUUUUGUUAAGAACAGACUCACACACAUGUACUGCUGGAGCAUUUGGUCAGUUUGCUAAGGGAUUGGAAACAUUGAUGCAUGCUUUGUGUUAGGCAUUGGACAAAUUCUUCUCAAGAAAGGAAUGAAGCCAAAGGAGAAGUAUGGAGGAGUUUGGGUCUGGUGCAAAGAUAAAACAAGAUCUUCAGAGAUUGUCUAUCAAGGCUUCAUGAGGGUUUAAAGAAGUCCAGAAGUGUCAUGAAGGCUGUACAGAGAUAGGGUUUAAGUCCAAGAGGGACUUAGACAUCAUUUGGAGAGAAUUGGGUGAUGGUGCAAAUAGGAGAUAGGGCAUCCCGGAAGUUCAGACGGUACGGUUCCGUACGGACCGUGCAAACUUAGGGCGACCCAAAUGGAGUUAGGAUCAAUCUUGUGAGAAGCUUGAGUGAGAUGUGCAAAGUUACGGCAAGGUACGGACAGGCAGUCCGUACCAUUGACCGUACAAGAAGAAGUGGUCGUACCAAGCUGAUUCAUGUCGACCAAGAGAAGUACAAACUUAGGGCGCGGCUUACCUUGAUGAAAUAUGACCAUUGGGGAGUUCAGAUGAUAAGGGAAUAUGCCAUAGGAUCUGUGUGGUCCAAGACAUGCUGGAAAGGGAAAGACACUUUUACUUUACAGCCUUAUCCACACAAGAAUCCAUCCUGUCCCUUGAUUCAAACUGAAGCGAUCCCAUCCAUUCAAGCCAGCCUGUUCGAGUUGUAUCUUCAACCAAUAAGGAGACAUCACUCAGAUUACAUUGACCAGACCAAGACUACAUCCUAGGCGUCCAUAUUCUCAAGCAAGAUCAACCAUUAGAUUUAGGUUUAUGAAUGUGCAAGUUGUAAGCUUAUAAAUAAGCAUGUAUGAGGCAUUUUGUAAGCUCUCAAGUGAGUAAGGGGGUUUCUCUUCUCCUUCAUGGAAAUGAAAAACUAGUUCUUGAA
RNA transcript from Brassica napus (rape), 1815 nucleotides. It is a transcript of the gene named 3-isopropylmalate dehydratase large subunit, chloroplastic, with no coding region annotated. NCBI's taxonomy places the organism in Eukaryota, Viridiplantae, Streptophyta, Magnoliopsida, Brassicales, Brassicaceae. The record is from RefSeq and is a predicted model, not a curated record. The transcript has 6 exons.